Molecule: long non-coding RNA, 701 nt
Organism: Helianthus annuus (common sunflower)
Lineage: Eukaryota; Viridiplantae; Streptophyta; Magnoliopsida; Asterales; Asteraceae
Exons: 2
Source: RefSeq, a predicted model, not a curated record
UCUAAAUAUGGCAAAAAGUAUUCCAUCGACCCCCCUAUUUUUUUUCAUUCCGUUCAGUAUUGAUAACACACUUCUCAAUUUUGCCCUCAUCCUCACCUAUGUUCCCUCGCUAAUCCAUUUCCUCUAAUCAAGGGAUCUCUGGUUAUGUAUUUCUUUCAUCUUAUCUUCAUCAUCGAGCAGAGCUUUAGCAUUUGAACCCUAAAUCACCAGUCACUUGUUUGGAUUUUCGUCAUCAAACACAAAAUCAGAUGGGGAUGAGGCUGCCCAGAUGCAUCAGUUGUUACAGUUAGUGAAUGAUUUUGUGGGGUCAGAUAGGAAGGAUGAGUGGCGAUGGGUUCUGGACGGGUCUGGGAAAUUUACGGUUAGAAGCAUAAAAGAGCAUCUUGUCUUGCAUAGAUACAGUAUUCCGGAGUAUGUGCACAGGUGGAAUAAUUGGGUUCCAAAAAAGGUGGGGAUUCUCACAUGGCGGGCGAACCUCGACAGGCUUCCGACUAGGUGUGCGUUGGCAAGGCGGAAUAUAAACGUUCCAAAUGUUUUAUGUCCGAUGUGUGGCGAAGCGCAAGAGACUACGGAGCAUAUUUUGUGACUUGUUGCUUCGUUCAGAUGGUUUCGCAACUAGUUUCACAAUGGUGUAAGCUUCAGCCGAUAUUUGCGUUCCGGGUAAGGGAUCUCCUUGAUUUACAUCUGUAUGUUGGUGGCUC